RNAcentral lists this ribosomal RNA (441 nucleotides) under uncultured bacterium. RNAcentral's name for it is "partial 16S ribosomal RNA". It matches the Rfam family "Bacterial small subunit ribosomal RNA", at positions 338 to 795 of the family's 1533-position model. The record is from RNAcentral.
CCUACGGGAGGCAGCAGUGGGGAAUAUUGCGCAAUGGGCGAAAGCCUGACGCAGCAACGCCGCGUGAAGGAUGAAGGUUUUCGGAUCGUAAACUUCUGUCAACAGGGACGAAGGAUUACUGUGCUCCUCAAGAAAAACCUGCCGAACUAUGUGCCAGCAGCCGCGGCAAAAUGCAUGGGGGAAGCGUUGUUCGGAAUGACUGGGAGUAAAGGGAGUGUAGGCGGCAUAUUAAGACAGAUGUGAAAUCCCCGGGCUUAACCCGGGAACUGCAUUUGAAACUCGCAAGCUGGAGUGCAGGAGAGGAGAGUGGAAUUCCUAGUGUAGCAGUGAAAUGCGUAGAUAUUAGGAGGAACACCAGAGGCGAAGGCGACUUUCUGGACUGUAACUGACGCUGAGGCGCGAAAGCGUGGGGAGCAAACAGGAUUAGAUACCCGAGUAGUC